AGUUUUCACUUUCCUGUCCCUGUUAAAUGGAAUGCAAAGUGAUCUGCAUUAAAAUUUAGCUUAUUUAAAAAUAGCUUUAGCCUCCCUCAGCAAUCCUUGAUCUUGCCUAUCGUAAGGUCUCAGAAAUACCUAGCUUUUCUUUUGUAUCAGUGCAGGUAAAAGUUGAGUGUAAAUUCCCAAUGCUAUUCAGCUGUUCCUUCCAGGAAUCCAAGACCCUUUCUAAUCUGGCUCAGUUGGGUAAUCUUGGCUCUGACUGCUGACAAAAUUGCUAAAUUGUGAGGAACAGCUGUGAGAGACUAUAAAAAAGAGCCAGAGUUAGGGGAAGAAAAAAAUAAAAAAAACAGAAUUGCAGGCUGAGAUUGGGUUUAUUCUAGUUUUAGGAUUAAAAAGCAAAAAUACUAACAUGCAAAUAAUUAAAAUCUCAACUGAAAACACUAGGGACUUAAUAGGACAUAGUUACACAGCAGUAGUAAGGCUGUGUUGUUGCAAACAGUGAAAUAAAUGAAUGCCUGUCCCAAGACAGUAUCUACAGAAAUUGCUGUUUAUGAACCUGCUGUAAACACUUAUGUGAUUCAAGCCUCUUAAAGGACAGUAAAUUACGUAUGAAAAUUUCAUGGCUGAAUAAGUGGCAGUAACAUGGCACUCAUUCUGGAUGCACACAUCAAAGAAAGACAAAAGUUGGAACUUUUAAGAUGGAAAUUAGUGGGUUCUGUGCUUUGUCCUUCUGGAAACCUCAGAUCCAAAACGUCAGAAAUUGGGGGAGUAAUUGUGACUCACUUCUGUUUCUUGCCACAUGAAAAAAAAAGAACCAGUCCCAAGGUCUACCAACUAACUGGUCAAGUAAUUAUACAGUAAGCAAGGGUAUUUGAACCUAUUAUGAAUACAAGGUGAAAAGAAUCCGAUGGCCAUGAAACUGCUCCUUUAUUACUAAACUGGAAUGAAAGGAGAUAGAGCAUUUUGCACAUCUGCUCCCAAAAUCCGGGUGGCCUGACGAGAAGAGCUUAAAAAUGUGCUAGGCUUUAAUUAAUUAUGAAGAAUGUUGGUUCUUGCUUAGUGCUUGUUGUAUGGCUCUACAGAUACCAAAGCUUUUUAGUUAAAAAGGAAGAUCAGAAAAAAGCCUGUUGCUGAGAACAGAACGGACACUCCAUAAAAAUAAGGGUUGAUCAGAAGUGUCAUAAAGGUUUGAGUUUGUGGAUGUGUGAUCACCCCUCCCCCCUAAAAUGGAAGUUAAAGGCAAGCGCUUGCAAUUAUGGUAGGCCAGG
Molecule: long non-coding RNA, 1262 nt
Filed under: Anser brachyrhynchus (Pink-footed goose)
Lineage: Eukaryota; Metazoa; Chordata; Aves; Anseriformes; Anatidae
Description: lncRNA (ENSABRG00000011348.1)
Source: RNAcentral